RNAcentral lists this long non-coding RNA (2042 nucleotides) under Aquilegia coerulea. RNAcentral describes it as "long non-coding RNA (ACOE_LNC001300)". Lineage: Eukaryota; Viridiplantae; Streptophyta; Magnoliopsida; Ranunculales; Ranunculaceae. The record is from RNAcentral.
AAAUUGAUCUCUUUGACCAUGCACAAGGAACCACCUUCGGCCUCUUCCUCUUUUCUUUUGUGACCAAGCCCUUACCAAAUCUGGUCUCAAUCUCAUUCAUCUUGGACAAAACUUCAUAACCUUUCAAACGACGAGGAGGUUUUCCAUGUUCUUCCUUCCCAUUAAACUGUGAUUUUUGGGUUCUAAAAGGAUGAAAUGGAUCGACCAAGAAUUUUUUGUUUCCCAUGUAAGUGUAUUUCCCUCCAUGUUUUAGCCAAUCUGAAUCUAUCCCUUCACCACAAACAGGACAUGCAUAUUUCCCCGCAAUCCUACACCCUGAAAGAUGUGCAUACGCAGGGAAAUCAUGUAUUGCCCACAAUAAAAUGGCUUUCAUGUUGAACGUUUCCUUAGAGAAAGAAUCAAAUAUACUAACUCCAUUGGACCAUAAUUCUUCAAGUUCUGCCACAACAGGUUGCAAGUACACAUUAAUAUCAUGGUCUGGACCACUUGGACCAGGAAUCAAAAGUGUUAACAUUACGAAUUCUUUCCGCAUACAUAGAGAUGGGGAAGAUUGUACGGAACAAUCAUAACUGGCUAGCAACUAUAAGAGUUGCUUUUGUUCCCAAAGGGAUUAAAACCAUCAGUUACUAGCCCAAAGCGAACAUUGCGUGUUUCAGUAGCAAAGUUACUCCAUUUAUAGUUCACAACCUUCCAACAAGAGGAAUCCACCGGAUGACGCAUGUAAUUCUGGUUUUCAACUGACUUUGAAUGCCAUGUCAUGCAAUCAGCAAUCCAUGGCACACUAUACAUCUUUUGUAACCUCUCGGAUAAUGGAAAAUAUCGUAACUUCUUCCACGGUUUAGGUUUAGCUUUAGGCUUGGACUCAUCCAUUGGUCUCGAUCUACUUUCCUUACAUUUGUGACAAGUCUGUUCAUCCUUAUAUUCUCUCCAAUAUAGGAUACAAUCAUUCUAACAAGCGUGUAUAAUCUCAAAUCUCAUACGCAACGACUUGAUCAUUCUUUUAGCACUCGAGGUUUUCAUAGGUAUCGUGUUCUCACGUGGUACGAUUUUCUUAACAAACUUGAACAAUUCUGUGAAACUAUCAGACCACCUAUUUCUAGCCUUCAUGCUCAACAUCUCAAUAAUCACUGACAAUUUUGAAUGUUCAGCUCGACAUGAAGGGUAUAAGGGUUGUAACGCAUCCUCCAUAAAUUUCUUGUACCUAAUAUCCUCUUCUGGAUUACUUGAAACUACAACAUUAUCUUCAUUGCGAAAUGCAUCUAAAGCAUCUAAGCCAUAAGGAUGAGUACGUCCUAAAGCAUCAUUCACCAUGUCUUCCAUUCUUGGCAACAUAUUGUCGUGAUCUACAACAUGUGGCCUAACAUAAGCUCUAUGAUUGACACGAUUUACAGAAACUGACUCUCCAUGGUGAAUCCAUGAGGUAUAGGACUUAUCUAUGCCAUUACAUAUCAAAUGUUCAAAAAGAUCAUCAACUGUUUUCUUUUGUAAAUUAUUACAUUUAAGGCAAGGACAACAAUACCAAUCAUAUUCUUUCCCUAAUCUAUCUUGUGUGAAUAUAAUAAAUGACUUGACACCCAUGAUGUAUUCAGGAGAUAACAUAACUGCUUCCAUCCAUGCCUUGUUUGGGUGUGUUAAAGACAUAUCUACAAAUAAAAAUAUAGGUGGUGCACUGAGGUUAACUAAGUGAAUAUAAAUGUAUAUAAAAUCAUGCAACUGAAACAAUAUACAUGUUUAAAAAACCAACUUAUUUCAAAGUUAUGAACCUUGUAACAUGCAUUCUAACUGAUGACAUAAUACUCAAUCGAGUGCACAAAGAACAGUGACAUUAAGAUAAUACAAACACGAAUAGCUUAUUAACUCGUGCAACAACAUUUUUCAAAGAUCAUCAGAAACAGAUAAUAUUCGGUAAAACAACCAUAUUUUUUAUUCAUAUACAACACACUCAAGUAGUAGCAUGGUUCCUAUAUAUACUCUAUAAAAGAAAUUAGGAAAGGUUUUUUUUUUUAUUAUUAUUAUUAUUUAUAACAAAAUAGAAGUUUUAU